CUCGAAGUUGGCUCAACCGACCGAGCCACCCAGGCGCCCCCUGAGAUUUUUCAUUACUGAUUCACUUUCUUUGUCAUAGGUCUCAUCAGAUUUUCUGUUUCCUCUUGAGUCAGCUGUGGUAGUUUGUGUGUUCUAGAAACUUGUGCACUUCACGUCGGGCAUCUAUCUGUUAGUGUGCAGCUGUCCACAGUAUUCCCACAGGGUCCUUUUGUCUCUGUAAAUAGUAAUAGGUAAACAGUAAUUUGCAGUCAUUCCUGAUUUUUAGGCCGGGAUUUUUAUAUGCCCAAUGACUUUUGAUCCGUUACAACAGCCGUUGUUCUUUUUGAUGUUUGAAUGAACUCACCCCUGCCCAGCAGGAUCCAUCGUGCAGCUCCUGAGUCCUGCUGACACAGUUCCCUGACCCUUCGUGGAGGCCUUGCCUUAUGAAACCUCAAGAUGCCCCAGGCUGGUCACACACACUCCCUGCCUCGACCCGGGAUCAGUUCUUCAGAGCCAGACCCCACACGUGCACGGUCCCUCUACCUGCAUCGCCCUGUGGUUCGGCUGUUUAAUCUUUAGGUCUUGACGCCUUCGCGGCACCCCCAGACGUGGCCAGGCUUCUCCUUCAGUACUUGGUCUUUGUGGUAUUUAGCACGAGGUGGCUGGCGAUGGCCUGUUAAGGUCUGGGCCUGCUGCUCCCGGGGAUGAUCCGAGUCCGGGCCUCGGUGACGCUCGUGAGGCCGGACACCAGCUGCAGUGACGGAGGUAGACGGGGCACCUGGGGGGCUCAGUCGGCUGGGCGUCCGACUUCGGCUGAGGUCGUGAUCUUGCGGUUCGUGAGUUCGAGCCCCACGUUGGGCUCGCUGCUGCCCGCGAAGAGUCCGCUUCGGGUCCUCUGCCCCUCUCUCUGCCCCUUCCCCACUGGCGCUCUCUCAAAAAUGAAUAAACAUUAAGAAGGAGGCAGGGCCUGGGGUCGUUGUGAUGCUACUGAGCCCCAACCGCAGCUGUGUUUGCUGUCAGUACUCGGCCUUUUCAAGUACACAGUGAAAGAAGAGUAACAAAGAGCCCUGUUUUCUUAAGUCAGCAAGAAUCAGGUUGAAGUCUUGCAGCUAAGAGUCCAAACUUAAAAAAUGAUCUUCUCCAAGCUUUUCAGGAUUUUUGUCCCCGACACCUGUUACCAUGACAACCAUACAUAUUGUGAUGAGUUAGUGCCACGAAUCCAGGAGGUGAAGAGGAAGCUUAUGGGAUUUGUCUCCCCCAAGCUUAUGCGUUUCAGUGUUUUGAGAUUAGAUCUCCCAGCCAUUAUAAAGUUCCGGAUGUUUCCCCGAGCAAGGGCAGCCUUGGGGCGGGGGGGGGGAGGGGUUAAACCCCGUAUGUGCAGGCAGCAGUGCAGGAAGAAUCCAAACAAGUGUGUCUACACUGGCCUGGGAUAUCUUCCUAACUUCUGGGUGUGUUUACUCUGCUUUGGGAUUUUCCCCUCGUUCAUGACCAGGGAUGUCUCUCUAAUUCCAUGGGUCCGUCUACACUGGCCCUGCAGAUCUCCCUCAUUCCCAGGAGUUGCUAUACUGAACUGGUGUGUCUACUCCAAUCUGGAAUGUCUCUUACUCCAGCGUGUAUCUGCCUUAAAGCUGGAUGUCUCCCCAAUUCACUGUGUCCACACUGACCAGGGAGAUCUCCCUCAUUGCCCAGCUGUGUCAACUCUGAGGAUGUCUCCCUCAUUUCCUAGGUGGGUCCACAAUAGCCUGAGAUGUCUCCCUAAUUCCUCCUGUGUGUAAACAGGUCUUGGGAUGUUCUGUUAAAUCCCAAGGUAUGUGUCCUGACCUGGGAUCCCAAUUCCAUAGAUGUGUCAACAAGGACUCGGGAUAUCUCCUUAAUUCUUCUGUGUGUCUACUCUGACAAGGGUUAUUUACCUAAUUCUUCGGUUUUGUCUGCAAUGAACUAGAUGCCUUCCUAACUGCCUGUGUGUUUACACUGACCUGUGACACAUCUCGAAUUUCACAGGAUUGUAUACCCUGGCUUUGGAUGCCUCCGUGACUACUCAGGUAAGUCUACUCAGACCCGAGAGGCCAGUCUAAUAACCCAGGUGUGUCUCCACUGAUCUGGGAUGUUGGUGUAAAUCCCAAAUUGUGUCUACCGUGACCUGGGAUGUCUCCCUAGUUCCCAGGGUGUGAAUUCUAACCAGUGGUGUUUCCCUAAUUUCUCAUGUGUGUAUCCGUGACCCGGGAUGUCUCCAGAAUUCUCCUUAUGUGUCUACCAUGAUGGGAGAUGUCAAGCUGUUCCUUAACUUUGUCUUUGACCUCAGAUAGCUCCCUAAUUUUGCCCAGGUGUGCCUACCCGAACACGGAUGUCUACCUGAUUACCCAGACGUGUCAACUCUUACCAUGGAUAAUUGCAUAAUUCUCCAGUUGUAUCUACACUAACCUAGGCUGUUUCUCUUUCCCCACGUGUGUCCAACACAGUUUGGUUGUCUGCUCAAUUCCCUGGGCCUGUCCACACUGAUGAAGGGUGUCUCUCUAAUUCCUCAGGUUUGAUCACUCUGAAUUGGCUCGUAUCCCUUCUUUCCCGUGUGUGUACCCUGCCCAGUGAUGUCUCCCAAAUUUGCACACGUGUCUACUGUGAUGUGGAAUGUCUCCCUAACUCCCCAGGUUUGUGUUCACUGACCUGACCUGGGAAGUCUCCCUAAUUCCACAAAUGUGUCUACACUGACCUGCAAUACAUCUCUAGUUAUUCAGGAGUUUACCUUAUCAUAGGAUGUCUGCCUAAUUUCCCAGGAAUUUCUACACAGAAUGAGAAUGACUCCCUAGAACCCCAGGUGUGUCUGUUAUUACCUGGGGUGUUUCUCUUAAUUCCUCAGUUGUGCUUACACUGACUCGGGAGAUUUCCCAAAUCCCCCAGGUGUGUCUACACUGACCUGCAAUGUUUCCCUAAUCCCCCAGGUUAAUCUACUCUUAUCAAGGAUGUCUAAUUCCUUCAUUUCCACUUUGAUCUUGGACGUCUCCCUAAUUCCCUAGUAUUUCCUACCUGACGUGGGAUGUCUCCCUAACUCCCUAUUUGUGUCUACUUUAAUGUUAGCUGUCACUCUAAAUUUCCGGGUAUUUCUAAUUACCUGGGUAUCUCCCUCAUUUCCCAGGUGUGUCUGGGAUAGCUUCUCAUUGUCCAAGGGAUGUUUGUAUUGACCUUUGAUAUCAUCUUAAUUCCCCAGGUGUGUCUACACUGAACUAGUAAGUCUAUAGUUCCCUCAGGUAUGUCUGUUUUAUCUGAAAAGUCUCUCUAAAUCCUUUGGAAUAUCUAUACUGACCAGAAAUGUUUCCUUAAUUCCCAAGUUGUGACUACACUGAACUUGGAUGACUAAAUAUCUCCAAGAUAUUCUCCAAGAAUAUCUAUAUUUACCUAAGAUGUCCCUUGAUAUCUGCCUAAGAUCUCAGGUUGCCUACCCUGGCCAGCUCUGUCUCCAUGAUGAACCCCAUGUGUCUGUUCUGACCUGGAAUCUAGUGCCCGGUUUGGUUUCCUCGGACUUGGGAAUCUUCCUCGUUCCCCAGGUAUGUUGACUCUGACAUUGUAUGUCUCCCCAAAUUACUAGGUGCAUCUUCCCUGACCUGGCAUGACUUUCUAAUUCCCAGUUUUCUACACUGACACGAGAUGUCUCUCUUUUCCCUAAAAUGUGUUUACUCUGACCCAAAAUGUUGGAGCUGGUCACCAAGAGGAUGUGACCACCAGCUGACGCAUGAGCUACACCAGGCAACUGGAGACUCUUCACCCUCCCCACCCCCCACUCAUUAGCAUGUACCUUCUGCUCGCCUUCUCUGCUUUGUCCUCAGAAGGUGCCCCAGGGACAUAGCCUUCGAUGAUCGUGAUGUGGUGUUGAGACCAUCUAGAUGGUAAUAUGUGACUGAACCCAGUUAAGGUCUCUAUUUAAACUUUCAGGGUUUGGCGAGUGGGUGAAGAGAUCUACCCGUCAGCAUCUACCCAAGACAAGCCUGGAAUGUAAGUUCUCUUGCUUAUUAAACCCGCCACCUACCAACCUGGAAUGAUCUGCCUCUUUGUCUCUGCCCUCCAGGUAGGAAUGCUGGUCUCAGAUUUCACCUGGGAAGCUCCCAAGGUUGCAACCCUGACUCUCCAGGCAUGUUUACACUGACUUAAGAUGAUUCUCUGACUUCUCAGGUGAGUCAACACUGACUGGGGUCUUGUGUGCCUUCUCUGACCUGGUGUAUCUACGGAGAACCCCAGGUGUUUUUGCUUUAACCUUUUUUUUUUUUCCCCUCUCUCUGUAAAGAUGUGUCUACCCUGAUCUCUAACAUCCAAGUAUGUCCAUCCUGGCCUGGAACGUCUACUUUUCAAGAGCGUCUACCCUGACCUGGCUAUCCCGCUAGCUCUCCAGGUGUGUCUAUACUUGACUCGGUUGUCUACACCACUUUGGGACGUCUCCCUAAUCAUCUGGGUAUGUUUUCUCGAGAGCUAGCUCCUUAAUUCUAGCGGCGUGUCUACUCAAACCUCACGUGCCUCCCUAUCCCCUUGGAUUUUCUGAAAUAUCUCCCCGAUUUCAGGUGUGUCUGAACUGGUGGGGGAUAGAUCUAAUUCUCAGAGGUGUUGACUCUGUAACAGUUCGCCUGAGUCUGCAGUAGUGUCUGUCCUGACCAGUGAGGUCUCUCCAGAUCCUCAUGUGUAUCUACACUGACUUGGGGGGUCUUCUCUGACUCGGAGGUAUCUCUGUGUGUUUGCCUUCUCUUAUCUUGGAUGUCUUAUCACCAAGUGUCUCUGCCGUAAUCUGGGAUGUCCCCUAAUUCAAGCAUCCACCCUGAUCUGGGAUGUAUCCCAAAUUCCUCAGGUAUGUCUACCCUGACCUGGGGCAUUUCUCUAAUUCCCCAGGAAUGUCUACUCUGACCCAGGAUAUCUAUUUCCUAGGUGGAUCUAGACUUAACUGGGCUCCUCCCUAAUCCCCCAGGUUUGUCUAGUGAACUUAUGUCUCCCAAGUUCCCCAGGCAGGUCUACACCGACUUGGAAUGUCUCCCUAAUCCACAAGGUACUUCUCCUUUGGCCUGGGAUUGUCUCUGUCACCAGGUGUGUCCUAGACUCGAUUAUCUCUUGUUCCCGGGUGUUUCUGUAGCAACCUUGGACAGCUCCCCAGUUCCUCAGGUUUGCCUAAACGGACUUGAGAUGUUUCCUUAAUACCCAAAGUGUGUCUGUCCUGGCUUGGGAUGUCACUCUAGUUUUCAGGUACAUCUUCGGUGACCUGGAACGACUCCCUAUUUAUCCCCUGAUCUGGUUGUCUCUCUUCUCUGGCGUGUCAACACUCAUCUGGGAUGUUUAAUUCCCUAUUUGUAUCUGUUCUGACCUAGAAUGUCCCAUUGAUAUCCCAGGUAUGUCUACACUGACCUGAGAGGUCUAAUUCUCCAGGUGUGUUUACCCUGAACCGGGACUUUUCACUAAUUCCUCGGGUGUGUCUGUCCACCCAAUUAUGCUGGUGUGUCAGUGCUGAUCUGUGUGGUCUUGUUUUCCAAGUGUGUCUUCGCUGACAAGGAACGUCUCCUCUGUUCCCCUGAAAUGUCAACCAGGGAUGUCACCCUGACUCCCAGCUGUAACCGUCCUGAGCCGGAUUUCCUCCCUAAUUCACAAAAUGUGUCUACUCUUACCUGGCAUCUAUCUAUAUUUCCCCAUAUGCCUCUACUGACCUCAUAGGUCUCCCUAAAACCCCAGGUGUGUCUACACUGACCUGGGAGGGCUUUUUUGGGUGUGUGUAGUCUGACCAGAGAGGUCUCCUGAGUCUACGCUGAAUUGGCCUGUCUCCCUGGUUCCCAACGAAUGUCUACAUUGUCGCGGGAGGUCUCCCUUAGUCCCCGUGAGUUUCUCUGCUGACCUGGGAUGUCUCGUUUCCCGGCUGGGUCUACUCUGACCGGCGAGGUCUUGUCAACCUGACUUGGGAUGUCUCCCUAAUUCCCCGUUUUGUCUACGUUGACCUGAGAGCUCCCUGGCUCUACCUACUUUGACCUUCGAUGCCUUAUUCCCCAGGCUUGUCACUUCUUGCCUGGGAUGUCUGCCUAGGUCUCCAGGGUGUCCCCCUACUGUAGGAUGCCUUCUCACCCCCCUGCUUCGUCUGGUGUAUCUGCACCCACCUGGGAUGUCGAGUUCUCUAGGUGAGUCUACUAGAAAACUAAAAUCCAGAGCGCUUUACUUGAGCUGAGUAUUUUACUGAGAAACCAGCAUUUUGGAAAUGGGGACACAUUCAAACGGCAAGUGGCUACGAAGCGGCUCUCAGCUGUCACAGGCCCGUCUGUAAAGCAGGAAUGUGCAAGUCCAACACUUUCCAUUGUGACUGGAGUUGGUGACUGACAUGGCUUUUCAGUGCAUCAGCUUACUUGAAUAUAGCUGAUUAGCUGGGAAUCUGUAAAGUCAUGCUGACUCGAAGAAAGCUCAAGUGUUGUUUAAAAUUGGAGUUAUUAGCAUUUUUGGAAUCAGGACAGUUUUAAAAUCUGGUUAGGUGACUAUGAGUCUGGUAUGGGGGCAUACCCAACCUGUGGUCUCCAUUUGUUUUAUUUUUUUUAAUGUUUAUUUUAUUUUUGAGACAGAGACGGAGCAUGAGCAGGGGAGGGGCAGAGAGAGAGGGAGACAUGGAAUCCGAAACAGGCUCCAGGCUCCGAGCUGUCAGCACAGAGGCCCCCAGCGGGGCUCAGACUCGUCAACUGCAAGAUCGAGACCUGAGCCGGUUGGACACUCAACCUACUGAGCCACCCAGGCGCCCCUCGGUUUCAUUGGUCUUUUAAGAUUUUAUUUUACU
This is a long non-coding RNA of Leopardus geoffroyi (Geoffroy's cat), 6751 nucleotides long. RefSeq lists it as uncharacterized. The transcript has 3 exons. The record is from RefSeq and is a predicted model, not a curated record. NCBI's taxonomy places the organism in Eukaryota, Metazoa, Chordata, Mammalia, Carnivora, Felidae.